UCCCUGGUGGUCUAGUGGUUAGGACUCAGUGCUUUCACCGCUGCAGCCUAGGUUUCACUCCCUGGUCUGGGAA
Molecule: transfer RNA, 73 nt
Filed under: Sus scrofa (pig)
Lineage: Eukaryota; Metazoa; Chordata; Mammalia; Artiodactyla; Suidae
Rfam family: tRNA
About the family: Transfer RNA (tRNA) molecules are approximately 80 nucleotides in length.
Source: Rfam by way of RNAcentral